AUUGAACGCUGGCGGCAGGCCUAACACAUGCAAGUCGAGCGGAUGAAGGGAGCUUGCUCCUGGAUUCAGCGGCGGACGGGUGGGUAAUGCCUAGGAAUCUGCCUGGGAGUGGGGGAUAACGUCGGGAAACGGGCGCUAAUACCGCAUACGUCCCGAGUGAGAAAGGGGGGGAUCUUCGGACCUCACGCUAUCAGAUGAGCCUAGGUCGGAUUAGAUAGUUUGUGGGGUAAAGGCCUAACAAGGCGACGCUCCGUAACUGGUCUGAGAGGAUGAUCAGGCACACUGGAACUGAGACACGGGCCAGACUCCUACGGGAAGCAGCAGUGGGGAAUUUUUGACCAUGGGCGGAAACCUGGUCCAGGCAAGCCGGGUGUGUGGAGGAGGUCCUCGGAUUGGUAAGCACUUUAAGUUGGGAGGAAGGAGAGUUGGUUAAAUCCUUGCUGUUUUGACGUUAACAGCAAAAUAAGCACCGGCUAACUUCGUU
RNAcentral lists this ribosomal RNA (484 nucleotides) under uncultured bacterium. Its description in RNAcentral is "partial 16S ribosomal RNA". It matches the Rfam family "Bacterial small subunit ribosomal RNA", at positions 30 to 507 of the family's 1533-position model. The record is from RNAcentral.